UUAAGCGACUAAGCGUACACGGUGGAUGCCCUGGCAGUCAGAGGCGAUGAAGGACGUGCUAAUCUGCGAAAAGCGUCGGUAAGGUGAUAUGAACCGUUAUARCCGGCGAUGUCCGAAUGGGGAAACCCAGUGUGAUUCGUCACACUAUCGUUAACUGAAUACAUAGGUUAACGAGGCGAACCGGGGGAACUGAAACAUCUAAGUACCCCGAGGAAAAGAAAUCAACCGAGAUUCCCCCAGUAGCGGCGAGCGAACGGGGAGCAGCCCAGAGUCUGAAUCAGCUUGUGUGUUAGUGGAACGGUCUGGAAAGUCCGACGGUACAGGGUGAUAGUCCCGUACACCAAAAUGCACAGGYUGUGAACUCGAAGAGUAGGGCGGGACACGUGGUAUCCUGUCUGAAUAUGGGGGGACCAUCCUCCAAGGCUAAAUACUCCUGACUGACCGAUAGUGAACCAGUACCGUGAGGGAAAGGCGAAAAGAACCCCGGCGAGGGGAGUGAAAAAGAACCUGAAACCGUGUACGUACAAGCAGUGGGAGCACCUUCGGGUGUGACUGCGUACCUUUUGUAUAAUGGGUCAGCGACUUAUAUUCUGUAGCAAGGUUAACCGUAUAGGGGAGCCGCAGGGAAACCGAGUCUUAACUGGGCGUUAAGUUGCAGGGUAUAGACCCGAAACCCGGUGAUCUAGCCAUGGGCAGGUUGAAGGUUGGGUAACACUAACUGGAGGACCGAACCGACUAAUGUUGAAAAAUUAGCGGAUGACUUGUGGCUGGGGGUGAAAGGCCAAUCAAACCGGGAGAUAGCUGGUUCUCCCCGAAAGCUAUUUAGGUAGCGCCUCGUGAACUCAUCUUCGGGGGUAGAGCACUGUUUCGGCUAGGGGGUCAUCCCGACUUACCAACCCGAUGCAAACUACGAAUACCGAAGAAUGUUAUCACGGGAGACACACGGCGGGUGCUAACGUCCGUCGUGAAGAGGGAAACAACCCAGACCGCCAGCUAAGGUCCCAAAGUCAUGGUUAAGUGGGAAACGAUGUGGGAAGGCACAGACAGCCAGGAUGUUGGCUUAGAAGCAGCCAUCAUUUAAAGAAAGCGUAAUAGCUCACUGGUCGAGUCGGCCUGCGCGGAAGAUGUAACGGGGCUAAACCAUGCACCGAAGCUGCGGCAGCGACACUAUGUGUUGUUGGGUAGGGGAGCGUUCUGUAAGCCUGCGAAGGUGWSCUGUGAGGSWUGCUGGAGGUAUCAGAAGUGCGAAUGCUGACAUAAGUAACGAUAAAGCGGGUGAAAAGCCCGCUCGCCGGAAGACCAAGGGUUCCUGUCCAACGUUAAUCGGGGCAGGGUGAGUCGACCCCUAAGGCGAGGCCGAAAGGCGUAGUCGAUGGGAAACAGGUUAAUAUUCCUGUACUUGGUGUUACUGCGAAGGGGGGACGGAGAAGGCUAUGUUAGCCGGGCGACGGUUGUCCCGGUUUAAGCAUGUAGGCUGRUUGUCCAGGCAAAUCCGGAUAAUCAAGGCUGAGGUGUGAUGACGAGGCACUACGGUGCUGAAGUAACAAAUGCCCUGCUUCCAGGAAAAGCCUCUAAGCAUCAGGUAACAUYAAAUCGUACCCCAAACCGACACAGGUGGUCAGGUAGAGAAUACCAAGGCGCUUGAGAGAACUCGGGUGAAGGAACUAGGCAAAAUGGUGCCGUAACUUCGGGAGAAGGCACGCUGGUGUGUAGGUGAAGUCCCUGCGGAUGGAGCUGAGACCAGUCGAAGAUACCAGCUGGCUGCAACUGUUUAUUAAAAACACAGCACUGUGCAAACACGAAAGUGGACGUAUACGGUGUGACGCCUGCCCGGUGCCGGAAGGUUAAUUGAUGGGGUUAUCCGUAAGGAGAAGCUCUUGAUCGAAGCCCCGGUAAACGGCGGCCGUAACUAUAACGGUCCUAAGGUAGCGAAAUUCCUUGUCGGGUAAGUUCCGACCUGCACGAAUGGCGUAAUGAUGGCCAGGCUGUCUCCACCCGAGACUCAGUGAAAUUGAACUCGCUGUGAAGAUGCAGUGUACCCGCGGCAAGACGGAAAGACCCCGUGAACCUUUACUAUAGCUUGACACUGAACAUUGAGCCUUGAUGUGUAGGAUAGGUGGGAGGCUUUGAAGCGUGGACGCCAGUCUGCGUGGAGCCAACCUUGAAAUACCACCCUUUAAUGUUUGAUGUUCUAACGUUGGCCCCUGACCGGGGUUGCGGACAGUGUCUGGUGGGUAGUUUGACUGGGGCGGUCUCCUCCCAAAGCGUAACGGAGGAGCACGAAGGUUAGCUAAUCCUGGUCGGACAUCAGGAGGUUAGUGCAAUGGCAUAAGCUAGCUUGACUGCGAGCGUGACGGCGCGAGCAGGUGCGAAAGCAGGUCAUAGUGAUCCGGUGGUUCUGAAUGGAAGGGCCAUCGCUCAACGGAUAAAAGGUACUCCGGGGAUAACAGGCUGAUACCGCCCAAGAGUUCAUAUCGACGGCGGUGUUUGGCACCUCGAUGUCGGCUCAUCACAUCCUGGGGCUGAAGUAGGUCCCAAGGGUAUGGCUGUUCGCCAUUUAAAGUGGUACGCGAGCUGGGUUUAGAACGUCGUGAGACAGUUCGGUCCCUAUCUGCCGUGGGCGCUGGAGAAUUGAGGGGGGCUGCUCCUAGUACGAGAGGACCGGAGUGGACGCAUCACUGGUGUUCGGGUUGUCAUGCCAAUGGCACUGCCCGGUAGCUAAAUGCGGAAGAGAUAAGUGCUGAAAGCAUCUAAGCACGAAACUUGCCCCGAGAUGAGUUCUCCCUGAGACUUUAAGUCUCCUGAAGGAACGUUGAAGACGACGACGUUGAUAGGCCGGGUGUGUAAGCGCAGCGAUGCGUUGAGCUAACCGGUACUAAUGAACCGUGAGGCUUAACCU
Molecule: ribosomal RNA, 2899 nt
Filed under: Klebsiella pneumoniae
Lineage: Bacteria; Pseudomonadati; Pseudomonadota; Gammaproteobacteria; Enterobacterales; Enterobacteriaceae
Description: 23S ribosomal RNA
Source: RNAcentral